This 443-nucleotide ribosomal RNA is filed under the name uncultured bacterium. RNAcentral's name for it is "partial 16S ribosomal RNA". It matches the Rfam family "Bacterial small subunit ribosomal RNA", at positions 338 to 795 of the family's 1533-position model. The record is from RNAcentral.
CCUACGGGAGGCAGCAGUGGGGAAUAUUGGGCUAUGGGCGCAAGCCUGACCCAGCAACGCCGCGUGAAGGAAGAAGGCUUUCGGGUUGUAAACUUCUUUUCUCAGGGACGAAGAAAGUGACGGUACCUGAGGAAUAAGCCACGGCUAACUACGUGCCAGCAGCCGCGGUAAUACGUAGGUGGCAAGCGUUAUCCGGAUUUACUGGGUGUAAAGGGCGUGUAGGCGGGAAAGAAAGUCAGAUGUGAAAACCAUGGGCUCAACCUGUGGCCUGCAUUUGAAACUGUUUUUCUUGAGUACUGGAGAGGGAGACGGAAUUCCUCGUGUAGCGGUGAAAUGCGUAGAGAUGAGGAGGAACACCAGUGGCGAAGGCGGUCUGCUGGACAGCAACUGACGCUGAGGCGCGAAAGCGUGGGGAGCAAACAGGAUUAGAUACCCGGGUAGUC